Molecule: ribosomal RNA, 497 nt
Filed under: uncultured bacterium
Lineage: Bacteria
Description: partial 16S ribosomal RNA
Rfam family: Bacterial small subunit ribosomal RNA
Source: RNAcentral
GAUGAACGCUGGCGGCGUGCCUAAUACGUGCAAGUCGAGCGAACAGAUAAGGAGCUUGCUCCUUUGAAGUUAGCGGCGGACGGGUGAGUAACACGUGGGUAACCUACCUAUAAGACUGGGAUAACUUCGGGAAACCGGAGCUAAUACCGGAUAACAUUUAGAACCGCAUGGUUCUAAAGUGAAAGAUGGUUUUGCUAUCACUUAUAGAUGGACCCGCGCCGUAUUAGCUAGUUGGUAAGGUAACGGCUUACCAAGGCGACGAUACGUAGCCGACCUGAGAGGGUGAUCGGCCACACUGGAACUGAGACACGGUCCAGACUCCUACGGGAGGCAGCAGUAGGGAAUCUUCCGCAAUGGGCGAAAGCCUGACGGAGCAACGCCGCGUGAGUGAUGAAGGGUUUCGGCUCGUAAAACUCUGUUAUUAGGGAAGAACAAAUGUGUAAGUAACUGUGCACAUCUUGACGGUACCUAAUCAGAAAGCCACGGCUAACUACGUG